This 462-nucleotide ribosomal RNA is filed under the name uncultured bacterium. RNAcentral describes it as "bacterial SSU rRNA". It matches the Rfam family "Bacterial small subunit ribosomal RNA", at positions 36 to 518 of the family's 1533-position model. The record is from RNAcentral.
CUGGCGGCGUGCUUCAUACAUGCAAGUCGAACGAGAAGCUGACUUCGGUCAGUGGAAAGUGGCGGACGGGUGAGUAAUGUGUAGAGAAUCUGCCCUUUAGUGGGGGACAACAGUUGGAAACGACUGCUAAUACCCCAUAUGCGCGUAUCUGCGAUGAUAUUCGUGAAAACUCCGGUGCUAAAGGAUGAGUCUGCAUCUGAUUAGCUAGUUGGCGGUGUAAUGGACCACCAAGGCGACGAUCAGUAGCUGGUUUGAGAGGAUGAUCAGCCACAAUGGGACUGAGACACGGCCCAUACUCCUACGGGAGGCAGCAGUAGGGAAUUUUGCGCAAUGGGGGAAACCCUGACGCAAGCAACGCCGCGUGAUUGAAUAAGCCCUUCGGGGUGUAAAGAUCUGUCAGUGGGGACGAAACUUGACGGUACCCACAGAGGAAGCAUCGGCUAACUCCGUGCCAGCCGCAGC